UACGGAGGGUGCAAGCGUUAAUCGGAAUUACUGGGCGUAAAGCGCGCGUAGGCGGUUUUUUAAGUCGGAUGUGAAAGCCCCGGGCUCAACCCGGGAACUGCAUCCGAUACUGGAAGACUAGAAUGCGGGAGAGGGAGGUAGAAUUCCAUGUGUAGCAGUGAAAUGCGUAGAUAUAUGGAGGAAUACCAGUGCGAAGGCGGCCUCCUGGCUCGACAUUGACGCUGAGGUGCGAAAGCGUGGGGAGCAAACGGG
This 252-nucleotide ribosomal RNA is filed under the name uncultured bacterium. RNAcentral's name for it is "partial 16S ribosomal RNA". It matches the Rfam family "Bacterial small subunit ribosomal RNA", at positions 524 to 776 of the family's 1533-position model. The record is from RNAcentral.